GACGAACGCUGGCGGCGUGCUUAACACAUGCCAGUCGAACGGAAAGGCCCUGCUUGCAGGGUACUCGAGUGGCGAACGGGUGAGUAACACGUGGGUGAUCUGCCCUGCACUUCGGGAUAAGCCUGGGAAACUGGGUCUAAUACCGGAUAGGAGCCAUUUUUAGUGUGAUGGUUGGAAAGUUUUUUUCGGUGUAGGAUGAGCUCGCGGCCUAUCAGCUUGUUGGUGGGGUAAUGGCCUACCAAGGCGGCGACGGGUAGCCGGCCUGAGAGGGUGGACGGCCACAUUGGGACUGAGAUACGGCCCAGACUCCUACGGGAGGCAGCAGUGGGGAAUAUUGCACAAUGGGCGCAAGCCUGAUGCAGCGACGCCGCGUGGGGGAUGACGGCCUUCGGGUUGUAAACUCCGUUCGCUAGGGACGAAGCUUUUUGUGACGGUACCUAGAGAAGAAGCACCGGCUAACUACGUG
RNAcentral lists this ribosomal RNA (466 nucleotides) under uncultured bacterium. RNAcentral's name for it is "partial 16S ribosomal RNA". It matches the Rfam family "Bacterial small subunit ribosomal RNA", at positions 28 to 507 of the family's 1533-position model. The record is from RNAcentral.